RNAcentral lists this ribosomal RNA (547 nucleotides) under uncultured bacterium. Its description in RNAcentral is "bacterial SSU rRNA". It matches the Rfam family "Bacterial small subunit ribosomal RNA", at positions 355 to 896 of the family's 1533-position model. The record is from RNAcentral.
UGGGGAAUAUUGCGCAAUGGGGGGAACCCUGACGCAGCCAUGCCGCGUGAAUGAAGAAGGCCUUAGGGUUGUAAAGUUCUUUCGGUAUUGAGGAAGGUUGAUGUGUUAAUAGCACAUCAAAUUGACGUUAAAUACAGAAGAAGCACCGGCUAACUCCGUGCCAGCAGCCGCGGUAAUACGGAGGGUGCGAGCGUUAAUCGGAGUAACUGGGCGUAAAGGGCACGCAGGCGGUUAUUUAAGUGAGGUGUGAAAGCCCCGGGCUUAACCUGGGAAUUGCAUUUCAGACUGGGUAACUAGAGUACUUUAGGGAGGGGUAGAAUUCCACGUGUAGCGGUGAAAUGCGUAGAGAUGUGGAGGAAUACCGAAGGCGAAGGCAGCCCCUCGGGAAUGUACUGACGCUCAUGUGCGAAAGCGUGGGGAGCAAACAGGAUUAGAUACCCUGGUAGUCCACGCUGUAAACGCUGUCGAUUUGGGGGUUGGGGUUUAACUCUGGCGCCCGUAGCUAACGUGAUAAAUCGACCGCCUGGGGAGUACGGCCGCAAGGUUA